This 2082-nucleotide ribosomal RNA is filed under the name Triticum aestivum (bread wheat). Its description in RNAcentral is "partial small subunit ribosomal RNA". Lineage: Eukaryota; Viridiplantae; Streptophyta; Magnoliopsida; Poales; Poaceae. The record is from RNAcentral.
AUGCUUAUCUUUUCUAUCUCUUCUAUAAUCUAUUCACAGGGUCAGCAGUCAGUUUGCAGCAUGUCUGAUCAAAGUGAUAGCCAAAAUAUGUCAGAGCAGCAAGUGGUGAUGAGUGAGGGCACUAGUCCCUCCAGUUCAUCUGAUGAAGGCAGCAGGAGCACUCCUAGCAAUUUGCCAAAGGCUGCCACGAGACAAAGGAAGAAGAGGACUUCAGAUUCCGAGGAUGAGGACUAUGUGGCAGAGGAAGAGGCCACUUCCAAGAGAAUUGAGCCAGCUCAAGGCACUAAGCCAGGUCUGAAAAUCAAAAGGCCAGCAGGCAGGCAACCCAUGUCAAAGGCUAGAGCCUCAACUGAGAAGCCCACUCCCCAAGAGCCAGUUGCAGCUGAGGGCAAGAAAAGGAAGGAGAGGGUGAAGAAGACUACGACUAGAGUGGUUGGCAAAGCUUCCAUCAUGGAAGAGGAAGAGGAAGAAGAGGCAGCUGCACCAGCGCCCAAGGCACCCAAGCUAAUGGGUGAUGCCAUAAGGUCAGGGGCUACUGCAUCAAAGCCCAAAGCUGCCUCCAAGCCAAAACCAAAGAGGAAUACAAGGAGCAUUCCUGCAGAUGAAAAGAACAAGGCCCCAGUGCCUGAGACUGUUGCUGAAGAAGAAGAAGAAAAUGUCCUAAGGAAGCUAAAGCCCAAGAUCCCAGACCACAACGAUGCUCAUCCUGUGGCUGAGGACAUGAAGCUCAGGAGAGAUUCAGGGCUAAGGAAAUGGAGAGAAGCAGACCCAUAUGCUUCAAGAAGAAGGACUGCCGUGGACUACAGGUUUCACACCAAGGAGCAGCAGGAUUUCUAUGAGACUGUUUUGCUAGAUAAGAAGCCAAUUGUCUGUGACAUGAGAUGGGUUGACCGGACCUACAUGAGGGAGAAGGAGGAGCACUAUCCAGGAGUAUUUGACAGCUUUAAUGCUUGUGGAGUAGCUGACUUUGUUGGGCAGAAGCUCACAAAGUGGAACGAGGAACUGAUCAUGCAAUUCUACUCCACGGCACACUUUUAUCCAGAUGGAAGGAUCACAUGCAUGUCUGAGGGUACAAGGUACCAAUCUACAGUGGCUGAGUGGGCACAAAUCAUUAAUGCCCCAGAGGAGCAAGAUGAUGACUUGGAUAUCUAUGCCAAGAAGAAGAUGGACCAUAACUCCAUGUCCAAUAUGUACAAGGAAAUUCCCAAUGAAGCACUUGAUACCUUCAAGUGUGGCUCGGUACAUUACCUUCUGUCAGGGCUCCCGACGAUCAAUUGGAUACUAAGGCACACCUUAUUGCCCAAGUCUGGAGAUCAUAAGAUGAUCAGAGGCCAUGCUAUCAACUUGCUACAUGUGUUUGAUGUGCCUCAGAAGUUCAAGGUGAUGAGCCUCAUAGUGGAAACAAUUAAGAGGACUGCAGCAGAUCAGAAGAGGAGCUGCGGAUAUGCCCCUCAAAUUCAGGAGCUCAUCAACUCCAAGAUGGGCACGGGCAUAUAUCUGUUGGACAAGGAACACCUGCCCAUCCGUCCAGAUUUCGAGGACAAUGAAGUUGUCAUGACUGAGAACGAGCCAUCAUCUGCCCAAGCAUUUGCAAAGAAGGAGAAGGCGAGGAAGGAGAAAGCUGCCAAGAUGCCUACCCAAGAGGAGGCAUCUGAAUACUUCUUGAAGACCAAACAAGAGCAGUUUGGUUACUUGAUUGCAUCCACGCUGAGGAUUGAGCAAAGUCUGGCCAUCCUCACUAAGAAUCAGCAGAGCCUAGAGAGGAUAAUGGAACAGAAGUUCUAUGACUUGGAUGUCAAGGUAACGGAAGUUCAGUCUGCAGUGGAGCAGCUCCAGAAGGACAUGCAUGAGAGGAGAGGCGGGACUACCACUCAUACCUUUGCCAGAGUGCCACGAUGCCCGAGGUCAUCUGCCGUGCCAGUUGCUGACACCAGAGCCACCACUUCAGCACCAGCUACAGCCUCAGUUCCACCAGCUCCAGCAUCUACUUCAGCUCCAACUCCAGCGACUACUUCAGCAUCUACAGAAGCCUUCGUCCUUGGAGUGAUCCGGACUCCACCACCACCUGAAGAUCAAGCCUGA